Molecule: non-coding RNA, 738 nt
Organism: Chelonia mydas (Green sea turtle)
Lineage: Eukaryota; Metazoa; Chordata; Testudines; Cheloniidae
Source: the annotation of a RefSeq genome assembly
CACACAUCUGCAGCCAGGAGAGCUAUCAUUGGUUACGGCUUAAACAACCCAUUUCCUCUCCCCAGCUGCACCUCUCUCUGUCUCUCCAUCUGAGGGGCUUUUUCAUAGUUCUCUGUUUCAAGUUCAACCCAACCAGUGAGAAUGUUACUGCGGCAGGUUCUUAUUGUGACUUUGACAUGGUCUUGUGGAUAUUCGCAAAUAACUCUGAUACAAACUCCAUUGUCUGUCACCAGAGCAGAAACUAGAAGUGCAUAUAUGUGGUGUAAAAUUUCUGGCAAAGGUUUUAAUUUUAACAGUGAUUAUAUACACUGGUAUCGACAGAGCCCAGGGGCAGCUCCAAAGAGGAUUCUGUAUAUUAGAUCAGGAUCAGUUUCUACGGAUGAAGGCUUUGAUAGAGAAAAAUUUAAAGCUGGUAAUGAUGUUUCUGGGUCCACCUCUAAUCUCAGAGUAGACCAACUAACUCAAGAGGAUGCUGCAACCUAUUAUUGUGCCACGUGGGAUCGCACACUGGAUCGAGCACUCUCCUGCCUGCUGCAGGAGAACUGUGCCCUGCGGGCUGAGGUGGCGCUGUGGCAGUCCCAGAGCCGAGCAGAAUGUGCCGCAGCUGCCACCAUGACCUGUCAGGAUAGCUACAUUCCACCAGGACAAGAGGAGGCUUGUACGAGAGAGAUAGAGAAAGACAUUUCACAGGAGCUGGACCUAGACUACGGGACUCGCUACUGCAAGAUUGAAGGAUGA